GGCGUCAUAGCUCAGUUGGGAGAGCAGCAGACUGAAGUUCCAAAUUCACUUCGCAUAGAUUAAUCUGAAGGUCCCGUGUUCAAGCCACGGUGAUGCCA
Non-coding RNA from Mycena vitilis, 98 nucleotides. NCBI's taxonomy places the organism in Eukaryota, Fungi, Basidiomycota, Agaricomycetes, Agaricales, Mycenaceae. The record is from the annotation of a GenBank genome assembly.